This 253-nucleotide ribosomal RNA is filed under the name uncultured bacterium. RNAcentral describes it as "partial 16S ribosomal RNA". It matches the Rfam family "Bacterial small subunit ribosomal RNA", at positions 524 to 776 of the family's 1533-position model. The record is from RNAcentral.
UACGGAGGAGGCUAGCGUUGUUCGGAAUUACUGGGCGUAAAGCGCACGUAGGCGGACUGGAAAGUCAGGGGUGAAAUCCCGGGGCUCAACCCCGGAACUGCCUUUGAAACUCCCGGUCUUGAGGUCGAGAGAGGUGAGUGGAAUUCCGAGUGUAGAGGUGAAAUUCGUAGAUAUUCGGAGGAACACCAGUGGCGAAGGAGGCUCACGGGCUCUAUACUGACGCUGAGGUGCGAAAGCGUGGGGAGCAAACAGG